UAAGUAAGCUUUGAUCCAGAGAUUUCCGAAUGGGGAAACCCAGCAUGAGUUAUGUCAUGUUAUCGAUAUGUGAAUACAUAGCAUAUCAGAAGGCACACCCGGAGAACUGAAACAUCUUAGUACCCGGAGGAAGAGAAAGAAAAUUCGAUUCCCUUAGUAGCGGCGAGCGAAACGGGAAGAGCCCAAACCAACAAGCUUGCUUGUUGGGGUUGUAGGACACUCUAUACGGAGUUACAAAGGACGACAUUAGACGAAUCAUCUGGAAAGAUGAAUCAAAGAAGGUAAUAAUCCUGUAGUCGAAAAUG
This 305-nucleotide ribosomal RNA is filed under the name Staphylococcus aureus. Its description in RNAcentral is "partial 23S ribosomal RNA". It matches the Rfam family "Bacterial large subunit ribosomal RNA", at positions 89 to 387 of the family's 2925-position model. The record is from RNAcentral. Lineage: Bacteria; Bacillati; Bacillota; Bacilli; Caryophanales; Staphylococcaceae.